RNAcentral lists this ribosomal RNA (1409 nucleotides) under Zobellia sp. RNAcentral's name for it is "bacterial SSU rRNA". It matches the Rfam family "Bacterial small subunit ribosomal RNA". Lineage: Bacteria; Pseudomonadati; Bacteroidota; Flavobacteriia; Flavobacteriales; Flavobacteriaceae. The record is from RNAcentral.
ACAUGCAAGUCGAGGGGUGACAUGGUAGCUUGCUGCCGAUGACGACCGGCGCACGGGUGCGCAACGCGUAUACAAUCUGCCCCCUACUGUGGGAUAGCCCAGAGAAAUUUGGAUUAAUACCACAUGGUACCAUAUUACGGCAUCGUAUUUAUGGUUAAAGGUUACGGUAGGGGAUGAGUAUGCGUCCCAUUAGUUAGUUGGUGAGGUAACGGCUCACCAAGACCGCGAUGGGUAGGGGCCCUGAGAGGGGGAUCCCCCACACUGGUACUGAGAACGGACCAGACUCCUACGGGAGGCAGCAGUGAGGAAUAUUGGACAAUGGGCGGGAGCCUGAUCCAGCCAUGCCGCGUGCAGGAAGAAUGCCCUAUGGGUAAUAAACUGCUUUUAUACGGGAAGAAAAAGGGCUACGUGUAGCCCACUGACGGUACCGUAAGAAUAAGGACCGGCUAACUCCGUGCCAGCAGCCGCGGUAAUACGGAGGGUCCGAGCGUUAUCCGGAAUUAUUGGGUUUAAAGGGUCCGUAGGCGGGCCGAUAAGUCAGGGGUGAAAGUUUGCAGCUCAACUGUAAAAUUGCCUUUGAUACUGUCGGUCUUGAGUUAUAGUGAAGUUGCCGGAAUAUGUAGUGUAGCGGUGAAAUGCAUAGAUAUUACAUAGAACACCGAUUGCGAAGGCAGGUGACUAACUAUAUACUGACGCUGAUGGACGAAAGCGUGGGGAGCGAACAGGAUUAGAUACCCUGGUAGUCCACGCCGUAAACGAUGGAUACUAGCUGUCCGGGUCCUUGAGACCUGGGCGGCCAAGCGAAAGUGAUAAGUAUCCCACCUGGGGAGUACGUUCGCAAGAAUGAAACUCAAAGGAAUUGACGGGGGCCCGCACAAGCGGUGGAGCAUGUGGUUUAAUUCGAUGAUACGCGAGGAACCUUACCAGGGCUUAAAUGCAUUUUGACAGGGGUAGAGAUACCUUUUCCUUCGGGCAAUUUGCAAGGUGCUGCAUGGUUGUCGUCAGCUCGUGCCGUGAGGUGUCAGGUUAAGUCCUAUAACGAGCGCAACCCCUACCGUUAGUUGCCAGCGAGUCAUGUCGGGGACUCUAACGGGACUGCCGGUGCAAACCGUGAGGAAGGUGGGGACGACGUCAAAUCAUCACGGCCCUUACGUCCUGGGCCACACACGUGCUACAAUGGCCGGUACAGCGGGAAGCCAUGCGGCAACGCAGAGCGGAUCCACAAAACCGGUCACAGUUCGGAUCGGGGUCUGCAACUCGACCCCGUGAAGCUGGAAUCGCUAGUAAUCGGAUAUCAGCCAUGAUCCGGUGAAUACGUUCCCGGGCCUUGUACACACCGCCCGUCAAGCCAUGGAAGCCGGGAGUGCCUGAAGUCCGUCACCGUAAGGAGCGGCCUAGGGCAAGAUCGG